GACGAGGGGCGCAAGCAUUAAUCGGAAUUAUUGGGCGUAAAGAGUUCGUAGGUGGUUAGAUAAGUCAGACGUGAAAUCUCAGAGCUCAACUCUGAAACUGCGCCUGAAACUGUUUAACUAGAGUUUGAAAGAGGGUUGUGGAAUUUUCGGUGGAGCGGUGAAAUGCUUAGAUAUCGAAAGGAACAUCAAUGGCGAAGGCAGCAGCCUGGUUCAAAACUGACACUGAGGAACGAAAGCAUGGGGAGCAAACAGG
RNAcentral lists this ribosomal RNA (253 nucleotides) under uncultured bacterium. RNAcentral describes it as "partial 16S ribosomal RNA". It matches the Rfam family "Bacterial small subunit ribosomal RNA", at positions 524 to 776 of the family's 1533-position model. The record is from RNAcentral.